AAAAUUUGUUACUUUCGGUCAGAAUUAUGUUGUUAAGUGGGGACAAAGUCAUGUUUCUACACUCCACUCUGGCGAAGAAGUUGAUCUCUACAUCGAUCAAUCUUCAGGUUCGUAUCUCUUUAUUUUUCUUAUAUAAAGACACAAAGAAAAAAUUUGUAUAAUCCAUUAGGAUUUCUGAAUAGGGUUUGGCUUCUACAUGAAACAGGUGGUGGCUUCGAAUCCAAGGACAGCUACGGAUCAGGUCUCUUUGAAAUGAGAAUCAAAGUGCCUGGAGGAAAUACUGGCGGCAUCGUCACCGCGUUUUACGUUUGUAUUCUUGACUAUAUACAUAUAUACGUAGACUAAUUCAAAACUCAUAUUGAUAAGUUGUCUAUAUAUGUGAAUAAUUACAGUUGACGUCGAAAGGAGGUGGUCACGACGAGAUUGACUUCGAGUUUCUAGGGAACAACAAUGGAAAACCGGUAACGUUACAGACAAAUCUGUUUCUGAAUGGAGAAGGAAACAGAGAAGAGAGGUUUUUGCUUUGGUUCAAUCCAACCAAACACUACCACACUUAUGGGCUUCUUUGGAACCCUUACCAAAUUGUGUACGUUUGAUCACAAUCCUUCUUCUUAUUUUUUAUCUUCUCUAUUCAUUUCAUGACAAAUAGUGAUAAUAUUUUGUUUGUUGCAACCAUAAUUUGAUAUUUUGAAACAAAACAGAAUUCCAAAACAUUUGACAAUCUGAUAUGGGUGAAAUAUAUUUUGGUCAUUUAGCAAUCUAUAUGUAUAUAUUCAACUUAAAAAUUCCCCCAUUGUCAUUUUUGUUAAUUGAGUCUCAAAUUUAGUCAUUUGGUGCAUACAUUCUCUACAAUCAAAUAGAUGAAAUGAUGAUUGAUAGGUUUUACGUGGACAACAUCCCAAUAAGAGUAUACAAAAACGAAAACGGUGUAAGCUAUCCAUCAAGGCCUAUGCAAGUCGAGGCUAGUCUCUGGAACGGUGACGAUUGGGCGACUGAUGGUGGUCGGACUAAGGUUAACUGGUCAUACUCUCCUUUCAUUGCCCAUUUCCGAGACUUCGCCUUAUCCGGUUGCAACAUAGAUGGUCGGAGUAAUAAUGUGGGCGCUUGUGAAUCCUCCAACUACUGGUGGAAUGCAGGCAAGUAUCAAAGAUUAAGCGGAAACGAACAGAAACUUUAUGAGCAUGUGAGGAGCAAGUACAUGAACUAUGACUAUUGUACUGACCGGUCUAAGUACCAAACUCCUCCUAGAGAAUGUUAUUGAAAUAACAUAACGUUAAUUAAUGAUCAUAUAUGUACAGGGGAUCUU
This 1306-nucleotide long non-coding RNA is filed under the name Arabidopsis lyrata. RNAcentral describes it as "long non-coding RNA (ALYR_LNC002422)". The record is from RNAcentral. Lineage: Eukaryota; Viridiplantae; Streptophyta; Magnoliopsida; Brassicales; Brassicaceae.